GGGUCAGUACGUUGGUCGUGCCACCGGUACGUACUGGUCUCACUGAUUCCUCCUUCCUGAGGAACCGUAAUGCCAUUAAUUUGGUGUUGCGGGGAAACAGGACUGUUACUUUGAAAAAAUUAGAGUGUUUAACGCAAGCUAACGCUUGAAUACAUUAGCAUGGAAUAAUGAAAUAGGACGAUCGAUCCUAUUUUGUUGGUUUCUAGGAUUGACGUA
This 216-nucleotide ribosomal RNA is filed under the name Glomeromycotina sp. RNAcentral's name for it is "partial small subunit ribosomal RNA". The stretch from base 75 to 216 matches the Rfam family "Eukaryotic small subunit ribosomal RNA", at positions 721 to 864 of the family's 1831-position model. Lineage: Eukaryota; Fungi; Glomeromycota. The record is from RNAcentral.